CCCAAGUAGCACGGGGCCCGAGAAAUCCCGUGUGAAUCUGGCGGGACCACCCGCUAAGCCUAAAUAUUCCCUGGUGACCGAUAGCGGAUAGUACCGUGAGGGAAUGGUGAAAAGUACCGCGGGAGCGGAGUGAAAUAGUACCUGAAACCGUGUGCCUACAAGCCGUGGGAGCGUCGCGCAGAGACUUGUCUCUGCGUCGUGACUGCGUGCCUUUUGAAGAAUGAGCCUGCGAGUUUGCGGUGUGUUGCGAGGUUAACCCGUGUGGGGAAGCCGUAGCGAAAGCGAGUCCGAAUAGGGCGGUUUAGUAGCGCGCUCAAGACCCGAAGCGGAGUGAUCUAGCCAUGGGCAGGUUGAAGCGGAGGUAAGACUUCGUGGAGGACCGAACCCACCAGGGUUGAAAACCUGGGGGAUGACCUGUGGUUAGGGGUGAAAGGCCAAUCAAACUCCGUGAUAGCUGGUUCUCCCCGAAAUGCAUUUAGGUGCAGCGUCGUGUGUUUCUUACUGGAGGUAGAGCACUGGAUAGGCGAUGGGCCCUACCGGGUUACUGACCUUAGCCAAACUCCGAAUGCCGGUAAGUGAGAGCGCGGCAGUGAGACUGUGGGGGAUAAGCUCCAUGGUCGAGAGGGAAACAGCCCAGAGCAUCGACUAAGGCCCCUAAGCGUAUGCUAAGUGGGAAAGGAUGUGGAGUCGCAGAGACAACCAGGAGGUUGGCUUAGAAGCAGCCAUCCUUGAAAGAGUGCGUAAUAGCUCACUGGUCAAGUGAUUCCGCGCCGACAAUGUAGCGGGGCUCAAGCGUACCGCCGAAGUCGUGUCACU
This 816-nucleotide ribosomal RNA is filed under the name Streptomyces botrytidirepellens. RNAcentral's name for it is "bacterial LSU rRNA". It matches the Rfam family "Bacterial large subunit ribosomal RNA", at positions 407 to 1209 of the family's 2925-position model. Lineage: Bacteria; Bacillati; Actinomycetota; Actinomycetes; Kitasatosporales; Streptomycetaceae. The record is from RNAcentral.